RNAcentral lists this small RNA (818 nucleotides) under uncultured Chaetomium. RNAcentral's name for it is "eukaryotic LSU rRNA". The stretch from base 544 to 818 matches the Rfam family "Eukaryotic large subunit ribosomal RNA", at positions 1 to 281 of the family's 3401-position model. Lineage: Eukaryota; Fungi; Ascomycota; Sordariomycetes; Sordariales; Chaetomiaceae. The record is from RNAcentral.
CUUGGUCAUUUAGAGGAAGUAAAAGUCGUAACAAGGUCUCCGUUGGUGAACCAGCGGAGGGAUCAUUACAGAGUUGCAAAACUCCCAACCAUUGUUAACCUUACCAUUACCGUUGCUUCGGCGGGUGGCUCCCUUCGGGGCGCUGCGCCCUCCCUUGCGGAAGGCAGCCCGCCAGAGGUACACUAAACUCUCGUAUUAAUUGGCAUCUCUGAGUAACUUAUAAAAUAAGUCAAAACUUUCAACAACGGAUCUCUUGGUUCUGGCAUCGAUGAAGAACGCAGCGAAAUGCGAUAAGUAAUGUGAAUUGCAGAAUUCAGUGAAUCAUCGAAUCUUUGAACGCACAUUGCGCCCGCUAGUAUUCUGGCGGGCAUGCCUGUUCGAGCGUCAUUUCAACUAUCAAGCCCUAGGUUUGUGUUGGGGCCCUGCGGCCGUCCGCAGCCCCCGAAAAGCAGUGGCGGGCUCGCUAUAGUACCGAGCGUAGUAAUAUAUCUCGCGAGGAUGUUAUAGCGUGUUCUAGCCGUUAAACCCCCCAAUUAUCAAGGUUGACCUCGGAUCAGGUAGGAAUACCCGCCGAACUUAAGCAUAUCAAUAAGCGGAGGAAAAGAAACCAACAGGGAUUGCCCUAGUAACGGCGAGUGAAGCGGCAACAGCUCAAAUUUGAAAUCUGGCUUCGGCCCGAGUUGUAAUUUGCAGAGGAAGAUUCUGGCGACGCGCCGUCCGAGUCCCCUGGAACGGGGCGCCAUAGAGGGUGAGAGCCCCGUAUGGAUGGAUGCUUAGCCUGUGUGAAUCUCCUUCAACGAGUCGAGUUGUUUGGGAAU